GACGAACGCUGGCGGCGUGCUUAACACAUGCAAGUCGAACGGAAAGGCCCUGCUUUUGUUGGUUGCUCGAGUGGCGAACGGGUGUGUAACACGUGAGUAACCUGCCCUUGUCUUUGGGAUAACUUCUGGAAACUGGGGCUCAUACCGGAUAUGAGCUCCUGCUGCACGGUGGGCGUUGGAAAGUUUCGGCGGUUGGGUAUCGACUCGCGGCUUAUCCGCUUGUUGGUGGGGUAGUGGCUUACCAAGGCUUUGACGGCUAGCCGGCCUGGGAGGGUGACCGGCCACAUUGGGACUGAGAGACGGCGCAGACUGCUACGGGAGGCAGAAGGGGGGAAUAUUGCACAAUGGGCGGAAGCCUGAGGCAGCAACGCCGCGUGCGGGAUGACGGGCUUCGGGUUGUAAACAGAUGUCGCCGGUGACGAAGCGUGAGUGACGGUAAUGGGUAAAGAAGCACCGGCUAACUACGUG
RNAcentral lists this ribosomal RNA (468 nucleotides) under uncultured bacterium. Its description in RNAcentral is "partial 16S ribosomal RNA". It matches the Rfam family "Bacterial small subunit ribosomal RNA", at positions 28 to 507 of the family's 1533-position model. The record is from RNAcentral.